RNAcentral lists this ribosomal RNA (381 nucleotides) under uncultured bacterium. RNAcentral's name for it is "bacterial SSU rRNA". It matches the Rfam family "Bacterial small subunit ribosomal RNA", at positions 45 to 408 of the family's 1533-position model. The record is from RNAcentral.
UGCUUAACACAUGCAAGUCGAGCGAAGCGAUUUCAAGGAAGUUUUCGGACGGAAUUGAAAUUGACUUAGCGGCGGACGGGUGAGUAACGCGUGGGUAACCUGCCUCAUACAGGGGGAUAACAGUUGGAAACGACUGCUAAUACCGCAUAAGCACACAGUGCCGCAUGGUACGGUGUGAAAAAUUCCGGUGGUAUGAGAUGGACCCGCGUCUGAUUAGGUAGUUGGUGAGGUAACGGCCCACCAAGCCGACGAUCAGUAGCCGACCUGAGAGGGUGACCGGCCACAUUGGGACUGAGACACGGCCCAAACUCCUACGGGAGGCAGCAGUGGGGAAUAUUGGACAAUGGGGGAAACCCUGAUCCAGCGACGCCGCGUGAGUGA